GUGCUCCCCCGCCAAUUCCUUUAAGUUUCAACCUUGCGGUCGUACUUCCCAAGUGGCCCGCUUCACGGCUUCCCUACGGCACCACGGCAGUUCACGACUGCCGUGACACCUAGCGGGCAUCGUUUACGGCUAGGACUACCCGGGUAUCUAAUCCGGUUCGUGCCCCUAGCUUUCGUCCCUCACCGUCGGACCUGCUCUGGUAGGACGCCUUCGCCACCGGUGGUCCCCAGAGGAUUACAGGAUUUCACUCCUACCCCCUGAGUACCUCCUACCUCUCCCAGUCCCAAGCAAUGUAGUAUCCCGCAGACGCCCAACGGUUAAGCCGCUGGAUUUCCCACAAGACUUGCAAAGCCGGCUACGGACCCUUUAGACUCAAUAAUAUCGGCCACCACUCGAGCCGCCGGUAUUACCGCGGCGGCUGGCACCGGUCUUGCCCGGCCCUUGCUAACAGCCGUUUUUUAGACAGCUGGACAGACACCUAAUGUAGAUGCCACUCGAUGUUCCCCUAUCGCAGUUGCCUGCAUUGUAGAGUUUUCGCGCCUGCUGCGCCCCGUAGGGCCUGGAUUCGUGUCUCAGAAUCCAUCUCCGGGCUCUUGCUCCCACAACCCGUACUGAUAAUCGGCACGCCGGUACUUUACACCGGCGUCAACCUAAUCAGCCGCAGACCCAUCCAAAGGCGCCAGAGCUUUCAAUCAAAAAACCCUUCCAGUACUCUUGACCUAUCCGGUAUUAUCCCCAGUUUCCCGGAGUUAUCCCAGACCUUUGGGUAGGUUGUCCACGUGUUACUGAGCCGU
RNAcentral lists this ribosomal RNA (794 nucleotides) under uncultured Methanosarcinaceae archaeon. RNAcentral describes it as "partial 16S ribosomal RNA". The record is from RNAcentral. Lineage: Archaea; Methanobacteriati; Methanobacteriota; Methanomicrobia; Methanosarcinales; Methanosarcinaceae.